ACAGCAGUAGCCACGGUAAUACGUAGGUGGCAAGCGUUGUCCGGAAUUAUUGGGCGUAAAGGGCUCGCAGGCGGUUUCUUAAGUCUGAUGUGAAAGCCCCCGGCUCAACCGGGAAGGGUCAUUGGAAACUGGGAAACUUGAGUGCAGAAGAGGAGAGUGGAAUUCCACGUGUAGCGGUGAAAUGCGUAGAGAUGUGGAGGAACACCAGUGGCGAAGGCGACUCUCUGGUCUGUAACUGACGCUGAGGAGCGAAAGCGUGGGGAGCGAACAGGAUUAGAUACCCCGUAGUCCCUGUCUCUUAUACA
Molecule: ribosomal RNA, 305 nt
Filed under: uncultured bacterium
Lineage: Bacteria
Description: partial 16S ribosomal RNA
Rfam family: Bacterial small subunit ribosomal RNA
Source: RNAcentral